Dendrobium catenatum is the source of this 711-nucleotide long non-coding RNA. RefSeq lists it as uncharacterized. Lineage: Eukaryota; Viridiplantae; Streptophyta; Magnoliopsida; Asparagales; Orchidaceae. The record is from RefSeq and is a predicted model, not a curated record. The transcript has 2 exons.
UCGUCUCCUUCUAUCUUUUAUAGUGCGCUACUGCCACUGUCAUCAUCUAAAAAGCUUCUUGAGUUAUAUUGGCUAUGGCGCAUCUUCCUCGCAUUUUCUUCUCAGUGGGUGAUUAGCAGUGCACGAGAUCUUCGAUUUGGGCUACGAUCAGUUCCUCUGGUUGAAGAUCUAUACAUCUACCAUGGAAAGAUUAUCAGUCUUGGCUAUCAUAUGCUGUUUUCUUCUGAUCGUGGGCGUCGUACGGUGCAAGACCGUGAAGAGAGACGGUGGCCUGGAACUUGUUAGCAGCCAUUUCUGCCUUUUCAUUGGGGGAAUUCAAUUAACAAUUAUAAUGAUAUGAAAAUGCCUCUUAAUUUUUCUUAUUUCAUUAAUCUCAUUUGUUAUAUGGGCCAACUAAAUCGUGGUUUCUUGGACUUUUUCUUCAUGGUCAUCUGCAUUCCUUUUUGUAGCAGUUUUUUUCUGAUUUGGAGACUUGAAAACAUUUACUUGUAUCACACUCGUGCUGAUGUCUGAUGAUCACAUAAUUUCUUCUAAGGCAUGCUUGUGAGCAGUCUGUAAUAUUUUAUUCUUCAUCAUAAACCCAAUGUAAUUAUUGAAAGUUUUCCUGUGACCCGAAGUCGCUGUAAUAUGGUUGUUCAUUAUACCUUUGAAAAUUUGGAGAUUGAAUUUGUACGAAAAUGUUUAUGGGAUUGCUGAUGGAAAUUCUGUCAA